CAAAUACUCCCUCCGUCCGGAAAUACUUAUCAUCAAAAUGGAUAAAAAGAGAUAUAUCUAGACAUGUAUUAAUUCUAGAUACAUCUCUUUUUAUCCAUUUUGAUGACAAGUAUUUUCGAACGGAGGGAGUAUGUG
Triticum aestivum (bread wheat) is the source of this 135-nucleotide non-coding RNA. The record is from Rfam. Lineage: Eukaryota; Viridiplantae; Streptophyta; Magnoliopsida; Poales; Poaceae.